UUUUUUUAAAAAACAGACUUUUUAAAAAAACAGAUUUUUGAAAAAAAACAGAUUUUUUUAAAAAAAACAGAUUUUUUUUAAAAAAUCAGAUUUUUUAAAAGACAAGUUUUUUAAAUUUUUUAAAUCUAUUUUUUUUAAAAUUCUGUUUUUUUAAAAAAAUCUAUUUUUAAAAUUUUUUUUAAAAAAAAAACAGAUUUUUUUUUAAAAAUUCUGUUUUUUAAAAAAUUCUAUUUUUUCAAAAAAUUGUUUUUUUAAAAAAACUGUUUUUAUUUUAUUAUGUUUUUGUUAUUUUUUAAACUUUAAAAUGUUAAUUUUUUUAUUUUUAAAAUCUGUUUUUGAUUUUUUUGUCACAUAAGCAAUAUUUUUUUUUCUUUGCCACGUCAGCGCCACAUAUACAAAAAUUAACGUCUGUCAACUUUUUUUGACGGAAUGACCCAAUUUGAAAAUAAUAAUUAGUUCAGUGACUUAAUUUAAAAAAUUAAAAGUUCAAUCGGGUAUUCAAUAAAAUGUGCCAACUUCGAUGGCCAAAUCAUUAGUUUUGCGGAUUGUUUUCACAUAAGUUGUUGAUUAGAUUAGCUGGAUCCAAAUUACUUGCUAAUGAUUGGUUUAUUUCACAUAAGUUGUCGAUUAGAUUAGCUGGAUCCAAAUUACUUGCUAAUGAUUGGUUUAUAAGGUGUAUCCAUGUACUGUCGUUUCAUGCAUGUCGUAAAAUCUGAUAAAUUGAUUCUACUUGAUUAUUUUCAUUCAACAAGUGAAAUGGAAACUCAUAAACUGAUGUUAUUGGUGGUGGUGAUGACAAUGUUGUACAUUGGGGUGGAUCUAGUUCAGUUAGUAAUGAUUUAAUUUUGCAAGCAAAGAGAGAUAAUAUUGUAUUAAGAAUAUCUAACUUGGAAUAAGAUUGUAGUUGAUAUGUUUAGAGGAUUUGUUUAGUGUUUUAUUUAAUGAAAUUAUGGAUGAUUGUUAUGCAUGAUAUGAUAUUGAAUUAAUGUAUCUUUUUAUUAUGUCCUUUUUAGUAAUCUUUAUAUUUGAUUUAAACUUAUAAGUCUUUAUCAACCGAACACCUUCAUAACUUGUUUCAACUUAAUUUUUGACUUUUGAUGUCAAACGCUUUUAUUUAUAAAUCACAACUUAAAAUAACUUAUAUGUCAAAUUAUAUUUUAACUUUAAGUCAUUUUAAAGUAAGUCGUUUGCCGAACGGGCUCUUAGAUUUGACAUUAUAAAUAUAAGUGUACGUGUGACACUUGCACUCUCAUAUACAACAUAUAUGGAGCAAGUACGUCUAACAAAAAGUAGAAAAUGAAAAUUACAUCUUUGACAAAGUAAACACGUCCAAAAUUGCCCACAAGGUCAUGCACGAGUCAUUUCAUUUUUGUUGGAAGUUUGGCCUGCAUAGUUUACCAAAGACGUACUGUAGAGUCGAAUAUUAAUAAUGUCCACUGAUUAAGCAACUUGUGUACAUGUUGUAGGGAUCGACCCCAUCCAUGUGGUCAUUGAUUAAGUGUUAUUGUUUUUGCCUUCAAGUUUCUCAUAGCCGUGUAUUUGGAGAACUCCAAGCAGAUAAGCAUUUCUAGUACUAUAAAAGGGAUACGCGCAUACCUACAUCAUAUAUAUAAAUGGCCGAGGCUAUUGUCUCUUUUGUUGUGGAAAAUAUUAGUGAUUUAUUGAAUGAAAAAGCUCAAAUUCUGAAUGGAGAGGUCAGGGGUCAAGUUGAAGAAGUUGUUGCCAAGUUUAGAUGGAUGCAGAGCUUCUUACGUGAUGCCGAUGCAAGGCAGAAAGAAGAGAGAGUCGGCAGAUGGAUUGCAGACUUGCGAGAGCUUGUCUACGACGCCGAAGAUGAACUUGAAAGCUUUGUUCUCAAAGCUUCAUCCUUAAAGAAAGGAGGCACCAAAAACAUAAUCAAGAGAUGCGUUUGUGUCCUUGAUAAUGAAAGCGUGUAUCGUCACAAAUUUGGGCGGGAGAUGGAAGCUAUUCAAAGAAGGAUGGCUGAGCUCACAACUCGUUUACAUGAGUAUAACAUCAAAUCAAUAGCGCCAGUUGCAUCCUCCUCUCAUGAAACACCAGGCAAGCUAAAACGAUUUUACUCUCGUGUUGUUGUUGAGCCACAAGUUGUGGGGUUGCAGGAGGAUGUAGAAAGCUUGGUGGCGCAUUUGGUGAAUGAAAGUGACGACGAGUGCAACCGAGUUGUGUCCAUAUGCGGAAUGGGCGGCAUAGGUAAGACCACUCUUGCUCAAAAAAUAUACAAUCAUCCCACUAUCAAGACUCACUUUUCAGGUAAUUUAGCUUGGGUUUCUAUAUCACAAAAGUGGGAAUUGAAAAAUGUGUUGCAACGAAUCAUUUUUUGUCUUGUUAAAGACCAAAAGAAGAGAAUGGAGAUUAUGAAUUUCGAAGAUGACAAAAUAAUGGAGUAUUUGCAUCAACUCCAACAAAGCAGAAAGUGUUUACUAGUUCUUGAUGACAUUUGGUCAAAUGAUGCUUGGGAUUGUCUAAAAGCUGCUUUUCCAAUUCAACAUUUGAAAAGCAAAUUAAUGCUUACAAGUCGUAAUGUCCAAGUUUGUAAGCAUGUUGAUCCAAAAGGCUUCCUUCACCAGCCACGACUUUUAAAUGAACAACAAAGCUGGGAGCUACUUCAGAUGAAAGCACUUCCAAAACAAAAUUCUUUCGGUAAAGUAUUACUUUUACUCCCUGCAGUCUUUACAUGAAUAUAUGUACAUACAUUUUUUAGAUAAUACUUCACUCGUUCUAAAAAAGUAAUAAGAUUAUUAUUUUCUUUUAAAAGUUAUUUUAAAAAAUUUCAAACUCAAAAAUAAGAUAAAUUAUUGAAACUUAUAAAUUCUACAAUGAGUCAAUACUUUUUAAAUAAUUUACAAUAUUUAUUAUUAUAUUGACUACAACUAAAGGAAUUUAUGCCCUUUUUGAAUUUGAAUUUUUUUUAAAUUGACGUCAGAAAGUCGAUAAUGAUCUUAUACUCUUGAACUGAAAAUCAUAAUUAAAAUUCUGUAUAUUGAAUAUGGUUAGGGCCGUAAAAGGACAUAUUUGAAUUCAAAUAUACUAAUAUUCAUAUUCGUAUCUGAAAAAUAAUAUUUUAUCCAUAUUCGUAUAUGAUAUUCGACAAAUUUCUUAAUGGUACCAUUCGAAUUCGAUAUUCGAAAAUUAUUUGAAUUCAAUUAUUAUCCGUUUCCGAAUCCGAAGUCAUUAGUAUAAUUAAUUAAAAUUAGUAAAUAAAUAAUUUAAAAUUUGAGAAAUUACUAUUAUGAUAUUAAUAUAACAUAACACAAUUAUCAACCAUGUUAUUAAAUUAUUAAAUUCAGAAGAACAAAAAUUAAUCACUCUAUAUUUCUUUAUGAAAGAUAUUAAAAAUAUUAUAAUUUUAUAAUAAGACCCGUUCAGAUAAAUAUGUUAGCGGACAGAUGUUAAACGGAUACGAAUAUACAUGUAUCCGUAUCCUUAUCCUUUUAUUUGUGAAUAUCUCUAAUCGAAUACAAAUAAUAACUGCUUUAAACGAAUACGAACAUGAACGAAUAUCCUAUUUUUCGAUUAACAUUUACAACCCUAAAUGUGGUCACAAAAUUUGUUGAAUUAUGGAUUUUUUUUUUGGCGGUAUAUACUAAUCAAUAUUAUUUCAUCUUAUUUUUCGUGCAACGAUUAGUGUCCUUUGAUGUCUAUACACAUUAGUCUGCGGUAGUGUUUGAUAUCAUCUUAUUGUCUCUGUUUGGCCUUUAUCUCUUUUUCGCGCAGAAGUUAUGUUGUUUAAUACUUUAAUUGACAAAAACUUUUCCAACCUCUUUUUAUCUUUUUUUUUAAAAAAAAAACAUUGAGCCAACUUUUUUUAAAAACGAGGCUCUUCAUUACUAUUUUACCCUCAUUAGCUUAAUUUCAUAUUUUUAAUUAUUCAUUCCACUUCUCACACUACACCAACCACCGCUACCCACCACCACCUCUCACCACAACCACCCACCCCAUCAUUCACUGCAAUUAUGGUGCAUAUAUAUGAUUGCAAUUAUUUUGGAAUUAAUUCUAAGAUGAAAAUUAAUUCUAUGGAUUGUUUAUUUUAUUUUUAAAAAAUCUAUCUAAAGUCUUAAAAUUUUAGAUAUGUUUUAAUGUAGCCUGUUCAUAUGGAAAAGGGAAAAACUAAGAUAUUUAAUUUCUAAACAUGAAAAAGUCAAUUUAAUAGUAAGUAUAAGAAUUCUUAGAAUUCUAAAUAUUCUAGAUUUAUAAAGCUAAUGAAAUCCAAAAUACUAAACCAAACAUAACCUAACCAAUUGUCAUGCAUAUCGUACAUUUAUAAGCUCGAUCAUAUAUGCAAGAUAUUGUAUUGGCAGUUAAUUAAUGUACAAGAGAAUACACAAUUUUUUUAUAUUCCAUUUCAAAAUGUAUCUAGCUAGCUAGGUUCAUCAUUUACUUAGCGUCGAUGAAACAUAAGGUAGAUUCUUCAGAUAUUUUCAAGCAGCAAUAAAAAGUUGCACUUAUUUUGUUUUUGUUUCAAUUGGUUUUAGACACCAGAUCAUAUGUUAAAGAGAUGGAAGUGUUAGGGAGGGAAAUGGUUGGACAUUGUGCGGGUCUUCCAUUGGCUAUAGUUGUGUUGGGAGGAAUUCUUGUAACGAAACCUACAUUGACUGAAUGGGAGAAGGUGCAUCAAGAAAUUCAGUCAUCCAUUAGGAGUGGUAAACGAAUGGGAGAAGAACAUCAAAGAGAAGUAUUAGACAUUUUAGUUUUGAGUUACAAUGAUUUACCAUAUCAAUUGAAGCCGUGUUUUUUAUAUUUGAGUAAAUUUGGCGAAGAUGCAGAGAUAGAUGCAGAGAAGCUAUAUCAAAUAUGGAUUGCAGAAGGUUUGGUAUUAUCGAGUGAUCGAAGGGAUGAUGAAACAAUGAUGGAAGUGGCUGAAUCUUAUUUGGCAGAACUGGUGCACAGGUGUAUGGUUCAAGUGAAAUUUGAGGAUGAAGAGGUAUCACUUAGAAAGUUUGAAUCUUGUCGCCUUCAUGACCUUAUGACAGACCUAUCACUAUCCAAAGCAGUAGAAGAAGAUUUUUUCAAGGUCUUUGAUCUUCGAAGAGGCAGUGAUUAUCAUCAUGAUGAGCAAUCUAUGGAAUAUUUUGCUUACACUCGACGACUUGUUAUUUUUUAUGUCAGGGGUGGAGAAUCUAGAGAUAUGAGGAGUACCAUCUCGUCAAGGAAGGAUGCCAGUCGAAGCUUACGAUCAGUCUUAUUGUUCAAUGUUGAGGAGUGGAGAAUGGAACGUUGGCAACCCUGGCAACCCAUAUUUAGAAUAAUGAAUCAAAUUGCCAACUUCAGGUUACUGAGAGUUUUAUCUUUUGAAGGAUUUUCAUUUGUUCAAGAGGCUAUUAAGUUGAAAGGGGAUGUGCCCUUUUUUCAUUAUAUGAUUAAGCUACCAAAAGUAUUAGGUACUCUUGUUCACUUAAGAUAUUUGAGUUUUAGGGACAUUAUAAUACUGAAGUUUCCAACAUUUAUAGAAAACCUAGAGCAGUUGCAAACCCUUGAUUUGCGUAUAUUGUUUUUCUAUCAGGCAAAACAUAUAGUGCCGAAGAUGGAACACUUGCGGCAUCUAUAUUUACCAUACGAUAAUAUAGUCGAUGACGAGAGAAAAUGUAAAUUAAGGUUUGAUGGGUUAAGCAAAAAGUUGGAGACACUUGAAAACUUUGAUACUCGUUGGUGUGAGGUUAAGGAUCUGCAGAAAUUAAACAGUCUUCGGAAACUAACAGUAAUUACAACCAAUAACCGCGUUGAAUUGGAAGAGAUCAUACAAUACUUGAGUAAGGCCUCCAGCUCUCUCCGGUACACAUCCCUUAGAAUUAGACUAUUGGAUGAAUAUAAUUUGGGAUGGGGAAAUGGUUCAUCUCCUUUGAAGAAGCUAUUGUGGUCUGAUCGUUACAAGCUCAAUAGAUUGCGAACAGAAGGGCCCAUCAGAGACUUGCUGGUAUUUGACAAUAAUAGCCAUACCGCUACAAGUACCCUCACCUCGUUAAUCUUUGAAAGUUCUGGGCUGGAGGAAGACCCAAUGCCAGUGCUGGAGAGGAUUCCUACGCUGCGUAAACUCUCAUUUUUGGAUGAUGCGGUUCUCGCGAGGGAAAUGGUGUGCUCUGCCAUGGGUUUUCCCCAACUCACAGAUCUUCAACUACAUCAUAUGCCCAACUUGGAAAAAUGGAGGGUGGAUCGAGGUAGCAUGCCCAAUCUCUCCAGAUUAAUUAUUUCCGAGUGUGUCAAGUUGGAGGAGCUGCCGGAAGGAUUAAAAUUCAUCAAUGCCCUCCAACAUUUGCAAAUAAUAGGGAUGCCUAAAAAAUUCUGUGAUAGGAUUCGAUUGGUAGGUGGUGAACAAGGACCCGACUUUUACAAAGUUGCACACGUGCCGUCCAUCAGUUUGUUUCUCUGAUGAUUAAUAUUGAAAAUUGAUAUUUUCACAAGUUCCAUAAGUUUUUUCUCGUAUGAAUAGUAAGUAAGAAUGUAUCUCAUGUGAGAAAGGAUUUGAUGAAACUAUUAAAGUGAAAUUAUUAAUUCUCUUAAUAUUAUGUUAGUUUCUUUUCUGCUAUCUCUCAUGUAUUCCAGAUCAUCUUGAGAGAGAGAGAGAGAGAAUCAACUAAUAUAUAUGUACUUCCAUUAGUUCCAUGCAUGUCCGUACUAUAUAUGGACUCGUAAAACUUAACUGUUGAUUGUUGUGUAUAUAUAAUUAAUAUUUCAAAUUGCCAAAUUGGAGUGUACUAUUUACACUUUCCCAAAUGAGGUAUUACAAUCGCCUCAUCUUGGGUUGGGAUUAACAAUUUUUAAACAAAAAAGGGUCAUAAUCUUUUUAAAAUAUUGACACAUGUACCCUUUUUCCUUACUAAUUAACUCGUGGAAUGUAAAAACAGUAUACAUAUUUGAAGCAAGAUUUGAGGAAGUGAUAUUCAUAUAUAUUUUAGAGAGAGAAAUUGGGUGUUUAAUUUUGUUGCUUCUGCACCUCAUUCUUUCAGAUAACUAACUAAUUAAGUACCCCACCCCAUGCUUCGAUCAUGUUACUACUUCAAACAAAAUCCUUUCUUUAAAUAUGAAUAUAUAACAACCCUCUCGGUAGGUAUAUCUCUUUUCCAGCAUCACAUAUACUAACAAAAAUACUCUAUCCUUUUUAAUAUAUAAGAUCAAAUUUAAUUUGUUGAAGUCAAAUGGAGUCCAUUUCAAACUUCAAAUCUGACGCAACUUAUUUAAAUUUUAAAAUAAUUAAUCUUAUAAUUAAUACUGCUUCUUAAUGAUUUAUAAAUAGUCACUUGUAAUUGGCUGAAAUUGAGUAAAAUUACCGUUGUAAUUUUCAAAUAUACUGAUGGAGUUAUCAUUUUUACCCGUUAAAGCUACUCCACUCCCAUUCCACAUGCACACAGAAGUAAGCUGCUUAAUCAAUGGGAUUUGCCAACCUCGAGGUCUCAUAAUUUGGAUUUUAGUGUCUCACAAUCCACUUAUAUAUAUAUAUAUAUAUAUAUAUAUAUAUAUAUAUAUAUAUAUAUAUAUAUAUAUAAAUUAAUUAGCAAAUGCACAAGGCUCCACAUGCACACAGAAGUAAGUUGCUUAAUCAAUGGGAUUUUCCAACCAACGAGGUCUCAUAAUUUGGAUUUUAGUGUCUCGCAGAUUUUACUAUAGGAUAAGUGGACAAUGAUUUUUGUCUCAUCAUUUGGCGCUAUAUGAUGGGCCUGCACAUAGUAAAUGUAUAAAUCAAGUUUCACCGUUAAUGCCCUGAAAUAAUGUCUUUUUUUUUUUUUAUAAUUCAGGGUGGGGGACUGAAGCAAUGAUCUUUUGCUUUACAAGAGACCUUGGAGUACCAAUUGAGCGGAGGCCAGUUGGUGACUGAAAUAAUGUCCACUACACUAACAUUCACAUUAUCAAAUCCUCUUCAAUCCACUAAUGAUAAUAACCAAGUACAAACAAUAUCCCUCUUUUGUAUCCCUCUUUUGUAACUAUUUAUUUGUCACCAAAGUACUAUUAUAUUUCAUCAGCAUUAUCACUUCUUUAAAACUAAUUAAUUAAUUAAUUAAAGAUAUAUAUAUAUAUAUAUAUAAUUAUUAUUUUCUUGUUUCUCUUUCUUUUGGUUUUUGGGCCAAUUUUUAAUUGCAAUCAGUCUUGGUUUUUCUUGUUUAGGAUGGGUACAACAUGAUUAAUAGGCAGUGGUCAGCAUGAACUUUAUUUUUAGGUAAGUUGGUCAAUUGAGAUUCUAUGUGUAUUUAUAUUUUAUUGGUCAAUUAAUCAACUUACUAAAAAAUAAUCUUGAUGCUAACUGGAUCCUGAUUUCCUGAUUAAUAUAUAUACUCCUCCAGCUAGCGUGCUCGCUGAUUAAUCAACUUGUGUUCGAGGGCUCCAUGCAUGUACUCAAUUAUUGAGCAACUUUGGUGUAUAUAUAUAUUCCUCCAGCUACUCCUGUACUAAUACCCGACUACUAAAAUUGAAGAUCUGCUCUGCUCUCUCUGCGCUCGAUCGUCAAUUUCUUGGCUUCUCCCUCCUCCCCUCCGCGGCUGUUACUCCUGCUACUCCUACUCCUUUGAUCGCUGCUAUUCCUUUGAUUACUGUUAGGUACCAAAUCCUAGACCUAAUAUUUGAUAUGUAUAUAUGUGUGAAUAAUGUUAUGUUUGAAUUUUUGGCAUGUGGUUUUUCUUUUCUUUAUCUCUCUUUAAUUUUGACUAUAGUUGCAGUGCCUGUGGAUUUCAAUUCAAUUCCUUUUUUUGUUAAUUUAUGUAGUUCAAAUGUUUGAUAGAUUGAAUGAAUUGUUGUAUACUUGGUAGUGCUUAAUUAGGAAUAUGUGAGCAGCUUAAUUUUAGUAAUUUUUAGUAACUUGGGUUUUUAACCUGGUUUCUGCUUAGCAAUAGGAUAUAAAUAUAUUGGUGCAAAAUUAUAUUUUUGCUCUAUACAUGAGUGUACUCUCAGUAACCUGUAAAAAUAAAGUCACAGAGAGAUGUAUAUGAUCAACAUCAAAUGAAAACUAAUAAUUAUACAAAAAAGAAAAAAAUGCAAGUUGAGGGUUUGGAAUUCUACCUUAUUGGCUGAUGGAUUGUUAUUCAUGGUGAUUGUUUCUUUGGAGCUUAAUCAAGUGAUAGUGAUGUUUUUGUGUGAUACUUUUGUUGUAUACUCUAGAUAUAAAAAUGUCAUUUUACUAUUUGAACCAAACUCUGUUUGAAACAUUUGUGUGUUCAAAAUGUUAAGUAUGUGACAAAAUUUAAUGUUUUGACUAUCAUUUGUUUGCAUGGUUGAUUAAAAUUUUUCUUGUUCAAUUUCUAUUUAACUGACACAUUAUGUAUGAGCUAUGUGAUUUUUUUUUUCAAAACUAUUUCUAAAAAUCAGAUCAAGGAUUAUAAGAGGUCAACCUAAAAGGUAAAUGUUAGUUCUUUAUCAUGGCAAUGCAUUUCAUAAUUUUGUCAAAUCAUCCAAAGGUAUGAAAGUAUUAAUUGUGUUCAACUUCUCUUAUUAUAUUUCUAAUAAACGAGGACAAAAGGAGUAUGUUACAAGAACUGAGCAAAAAUGGAAGGGUUAAUUUGAAUCAUCAUGUAAUGUAAUAUACAAUGAAGCACUCAUUCGUUUGCAAAUGAUAUACGUUCUGGGUAGUCAUAUGGGCAGCACACAUUGCCUAUGUUAUGUGAAUCUAUGCACACAAAGCAUGCAUUCACCACAUAUUUUCCCCUCUUCCACAUACUUCCACAUAGUAUCUUGAGGUGACAUCGACCCCCACACUGCUGUCCAGAAAUUAAGUGUAUUUUACCUUUAUUCCAAACGUGGGUUUUAUGUUAUAUUAUGAGUUAAUCUAGUUAUAAUUUGUUCCAGACACAUAAUACUUGUUUGCAUGUUCAAGGGAGGACAUACAUACAUGUAACAUCUCUCCCCUAAACAGGUGCUUACAUGGCUGUACUGUCCUGUACAGUGCUGUAUUUAUAACUUUUGUCCUGCAUCAUUUGUUUAAGCUAAAAUAUGAUAUCCAAAAAUAUUUUAUCAGCAUUUGGUUAAGUAGAUUUCAUUCUUCUCAUGAUUUUGUGGUAGUUAAUUUUUUUCACAUUACUCUUAAUGACUAGUCUUUAGAUGAUCUUAUAGUGAGCUUUGGUUUGAGUUAUUUGGUUAACCAGUUUGAGUUUGCUGCAUGGUUUUAAAACACAUGAAUAUAGAUUAUGUGAAGAAAUUUGAUUAUUGUGUAACACAUGAAUAUAGUUCAUUUAAAUUUUUGUUUCAGGUUUAUGAUGCUACAGUAUUGUUUCUUGUUCCUGAAUUUUUUAGUACUUUGAUAAUAGAAAUUUGAGUACUGUUUAUUGGUUUUUUGUUCAUUUUGAGUACUUUAGAUUCCUUGUUCCGGAGCAUUUGAUGCUUUCUGCUGAACAUAUGAUAAUAUGUGUUUAUUUGUUAUUACUGCUUUAUUCUUUUGAUCAGAAAUAUGAUUUUGGAUUUCCCAAGUAAUCCGAUCUAGUAUUUUUGAAUCUUUGUUCUAAGGAUAUGGAUAUAUUUCCUUCUGCUCUUUCGAGGAAUAUGGUUUUUGAAUCCUUCUGAAGUUUUGUUGAUAUGAAUUAUCAUUACGUGGAUCCUUUUGAAGAAGUGUUUUUGAUUGAGGUUUGAUCUCAGUUAUGUGACAUAUACACCAUUAAUGUUUGUGUGUCUCCAGAGCAGGUUUUGUUUUAGGAAAUAGUAAAAGAAUUUUAAAUAAAAAGAACAAUGUUGUUUGAGAAAAAAAAUAUUUUUAAGCACUUAUCUUGUUUCUUUUAAUCAUUCUUUCAGAACACUAAUAGAGCAUGGUUUUCUUAUGUCUCAUUCAUUAGCCAUUAUUGGUGCUUCAUAUUGGCUAUUGGAUCAACAGUUAAUAUGAUUGUUUUCACUUAAGUUGUUGAUUAGAUUAGCUGGAUCCAAAUUGCUUGCUAAUGAUAGGUUUAUAAGGUGUAUCCAUGUAUUGUCGUUUCAUAUGGAUGCAUUAUGCAUGUCGUACAAUCUGAUAAAUUGAUUCUACUUGAUUUUUUUCAUUCAACAAGUGAAAUGGAAACUCAUAAAUUGAUGUUAUGGGUGGUGGUGAUCAUAACAAUGUUGUACAUUGAGGUGAAUCUACUUUAGUUAGUAAUAGUUUAAUUAUGCAAGCAAAGAGAUAUUAUAUUGCAUUAAAAAAAUUUAACUUGGAAUAAGAUUGUAGUUGAUAUGUUUAGAGAAUUUACUUAGUGUUUUAUUUAAUGAAAUUGUGGAUGAUUGUUAUGAUAUGAUAUUGAGUUAAUGUAUCUUUUUAUUAAUAUCCUUUUUAGUAAUCUUUAUAUCUGAUUUUAACUUAUAAGUCAUUAUCAGUCGAACACUUUCAUAACUUGUUUUAACUUAAUUUCUAACUUAUAAGUCAAAUUGAUACCGAACGCUUUUACUUAUAAGUCUGAACUUAAAAUAAUUUAUAAGUCAACUUAUAUUUGAACUUUAAGUUAUUUUAAAAUAAGUCGUUGCGGAAUGGGCUCUUAGAUUUGCCAUUAUAAACAUAAAUGUACGUGUGACACUUGCACUCUCAUAUACAACAUAUAUGCAGCAAGUACGUCUAACAAAAAGUAGAAAAUGAAAAUUACAACUUUGACAAAGUAAACACAUCCAAAAUUGGCCACGAGGCCAUGCACGAGUCAUUUCAUUUUGUCAUUGUUGGAAGUUUUGGCCUGCAUAGUUUACCAAAGACGUACUGUAGACUCAAAUAUUAAUAAUGUCCACUGAUUAAGCAACUUGUGUACAUGUUGUAGGGAUCGACCCCGUCCAUGUGGUCAUUGAUUAAGUGUUACUGUUUUUGCCAUCGAGUUUGUCAUAGCCGUGUAUUUGGAGAACUCCAAGCAGAUAAGCAUUUCUAGUACUAUAAAAGGGAGACACGCAUACCUACAUCAUAUAUAUAAAUGGCCGAGGCUGUUGUCUCUUUUGUUGUGGAAAAUAUUAGUGAUUUAUUGAAUGAAAAAGCUCAAAUUCUGAAUGCAGUGA
RNAcentral lists this long non-coding RNA (11928 nucleotides) under Panax ginseng (ginseng). Its description in RNAcentral is "long non-coding RNA (PGIN_LNC013315)". Lineage: Eukaryota; Viridiplantae; Streptophyta; Magnoliopsida; Apiales; Araliaceae. The record is from RNAcentral.